GGUUAGAGACAUCACUACGUGUCUACAGCCAUUACCAUUCUGAACGUGCCUGAUCUUGGAAGCUUAAGCAGGGUUGGGCCUGGUUAGUACUUGGAUGGGAGACCACCUGGGAAUAGUGGGUGCUGUAUACUU
Molecule: long non-coding RNA, 132 nt
Organism: Sapajus apella (tufted capuchin)
Lineage: Eukaryota; Metazoa; Chordata; Mammalia; Primates; Cebidae
Exons: 3
Source: RefSeq, a predicted model, not a curated record